This 256-nucleotide ribosomal RNA is filed under the name Stumpffia miery. RNAcentral describes it as "partial 16S ribosomal RNA". Lineage: Eukaryota; Metazoa; Chordata; Amphibia; Anura; Microhylidae. The record is from RNAcentral.
AACCUCAUAAGACGAGAAGACCCCAUGGAACUUUAAACUAGUACCACCUCACAACUAAGACCACAUGACUACUAGUCUUUCGGCUGGGGCGACCACGGGGAAAAACAAAACCCCCACGAUGAAAGGAAGUAUCCUUAUCCUAGACCCACCCCUCCAAGAAUCAAUAAAUGACAUUUUUGACCCAACACUUGAUCAACGAACCAAGCUACCCUGGGGAUAACAGCGCAAUCCAUUUCAAGAGACCUCAUCGACAAAU